AUAAUUUCUAUUCUUUUUUUUUCUCUUUCCCCAAAAGAAACCCAACAACCAAAGCCCCUCCAAAAACAGAAACCCAAAUCUAAUAUCUCAUAAAAGGAUUUUCUUCUUCUUGCCAAAUGUGAAGUUUGUUUAAGAAAGCAUGCACAUUUAUAGAACAGGAAAUUAAAAGGAAAUAGAGAUAACAGCUUCAGAUGUGGAGUAAUGGUUGCAGUGAAAAAGUGGGUCGAUGCGUGUCGGCUUCUCAUUGGUUGCCCUCAUAGCGUGUCGGUUUCUCAUUGGUUGUCCUCAUAGCGGUGUCGUUACUGUCUGCUGUUUGAACUUUUAUUUUAUUGUCUGCUUUCCAAACUCUUCAAUUAAAGCCCUCUCGCUGUCAGAGUUGUACGGUCACUCCUUGAGUUGACGGCGGAAUUUUUUUAAGGAUUUUACUAUACAUAAUUGUUUACCAUGGACAUUUUUUAUUUUUGCCCACAAGGUUUGGGAUUGUUUCACUUCAGUCCUGAUUGAGCACAAACCUCGGUACCGAAAAUAGACGUCCUCUAUUUCAUAUUUUCAAUUAAUAAAUUAAGGGCAAAAAAAGAAUAAUUGAGUGAAUAUUUGUUAGAUUGAAGUAAUAGUAAACAAUAAUUUCACAACUUUGUUUUUUUUAUGUUUCCUUGUACCAUCUUUCGCUUCUUAUUUUCUCACCAAUCAACUCAAUUAUCCUUUAGAGAUAUUUGAAACAUUGUUACAAUUCAAUUAUUUACAAUAAAAUACACAAACCAUCCCCAAUUAAGAACAAAUUAUUUGGGGAUCAACAAGCGAAUGUAAAAAAUAAGGCUAUACAAACAAAAAUUGGGACAUGUAUUUCGAACAAAUUUUUAAUAAGUUAUCCCUACAUUAAUAAUAAAAUAUAAAUUAAAAGACAAGAAAACUAAACAUCCCAAUAUAACAUUCUACAUAUAUUUUUCACAUACACGGGUGAAUUGGAUUCAACACAAAAUACUAUAAGUGAUUUUAACACUCAAUUAUUGAGUGUGUGCAUACAAAAUGGGCUGUAUAUAUUCUUUUCCACAAGUCACUUCAAUUCCCUUCAAACAAAUGCAAAAAUCAAAAAGUAAUUUUAAUACUCAAUUAUUAAGUGAUUCCACACACACAUAUAUAACAUGGUAUUAUAUUCUUUUCCACGUUCACACUUAAAUUUCCUUCAACGCAAAAAAGUAAAAGUGAUUUUAACACUCAAUUAUAGAGUGAUUCCCCAUAUAUUUAAAACAUCCUUGUAGGUGCCGUAUACCAAAGGGACUAAACUAUUGUAGGUGCCGUAUACCAAAGGCACUAAACUAUGCGAUGUGUCCAUUUUUUUAAACAAAAGAAGUUAUUUUGAAUAAAUAAUAGUGUGUUCACUUUCCGAACUACAGAAUCAAAAUCAUUGACAGCGUUUACUUCGUAAAAUAUAAUUAGGAAUCAGAAUCGGGAUCGUGAGAUCCACCACAAUUUGGAAAUGAGGAAUGAGAGACACAUUCCCAAGGAGGGAGUGGGAAUGAGUUUCCCAUUCCCAUGAUUGACCAUUUUGCCUUCCUCCAAAAUAAAAAAUGUAUACUUUUUCCUCAUUUAUAAUU
This 1595-nucleotide long non-coding RNA is filed under the name Citrus x clementina. RNAcentral's name for it is "Citrus clementina (C. clementina) long non-coding RNA (CCLE_LNC003626)". Lineage: Eukaryota; Viridiplantae; Streptophyta; Magnoliopsida; Sapindales; Rutaceae. The record is from RNAcentral.